This 253-nucleotide ribosomal RNA is filed under the name uncultured bacterium. RNAcentral describes it as "partial 16S ribosomal RNA". It matches the Rfam family "Bacterial small subunit ribosomal RNA", at positions 524 to 776 of the family's 1533-position model. The record is from RNAcentral.
GACGAACCGUGCGAACGUUGUUCGGAAUCACUGGGCUUAAAGGGCGCGUAGGCGGGUGUGCAAGUCUGUGGUGAAAGCCCCCAGCUUAACUGGGGAAGUGCCGUGGAUACUGCACAUCUUGAGGAGGGUAGGGGCAUCUGGAACGGUCGGUGGAGCGGUGAAAUGCGUUGAUAUCGACCGGAACUCCGGUGGCGAAGGCGAGGUGCUGGACCCUUUCUGACGCUGAUGCGCGAAAGCCAGGGGAGCAAACAGG